GACGAACGCUGGCGGCGUGCUUAACACAUGCAAGUCGAACGGAAAGGCCCUGCUUUUGUGGGUUGCUCGAGUGGCGAACGGGUGAGUAACACGUGAGUAACCUGCCCUUGACUUUGGGAUAACUUCAGGAAACUGGGGCUAAUACCGGAUAGGAGCUCCUGCAGCAUGGUGGGGGUUGGAAAGUGUCGGCGGUGUGGGCUGGACUCGCGGCAUAUCCGCUUGUUUGUGGGGUAGGGGCUUACCAAGCCUUCGACGGGUAGCCGGCCUGAGAGGGUGACCGGCCACAUUGGGCCUGAGGUACGGCCCAGACUCCUACGGGAGGCAGCAGUGGGGAAUAUUGCACAAUGGGCGGAAGCCUGAUGCAGCAACGCCGCGUGCGGGAUGACGGCCUUCGGGUUGUAAACCGCUUUCGCCUGUGACGAAGCGUGAGUGACGGUAAUGAGUAAAGAAGCACCGGCUAACUACGUG
This 468-nucleotide ribosomal RNA is filed under the name uncultured bacterium. Its description in RNAcentral is "partial 16S ribosomal RNA". It matches the Rfam family "Bacterial small subunit ribosomal RNA", at positions 28 to 507 of the family's 1533-position model. The record is from RNAcentral.